This 1366-nucleotide ribosomal RNA is filed under the name metagenome. Its description in RNAcentral is "bacterial LSU rRNA". It matches the Rfam family "Bacterial large subunit ribosomal RNA", at positions 1579 to 2925 of the family's 2925-position model. The record is from RNAcentral.
UAAAGGACGAAGUGACUGACACCACGCUUCCAGGAAAAGCCACUAAGCUUCAGCUAAGAAAAACCGUACCGCAAACCGACACAGGUAGGCAGGGUGAGAAUCCCAAGGCGCUUGAGAGAACUCGGGUGAAGGAACUAGGCAAAAUGGCACCGUAACUUCGGGAGAAGGUGCGCCCUUUGGUGUGGUCACGUGCGUGACUGAGCAUCGAAGGGUCGCAGUAACCUGGCCGCUGCGACUGUUUAUCAAAAACACAGCACUCUGCAAACACGAAAGUGGACGUAUAGGGUGUGACGCCUGCCCGGUGCUGGAAGGUUAAUUGAUGGGGUCAGCCGCAAGGCGAAGCUCUUGAUCGAAGCCCCAGUAAACGGCGGCCGUAACGAUAACGGUCCUAAGGUAGCGAAAUUCCUUGUCGGGUAAGUUCCGACCUGCACGAAUGGCGUAACGACAGCGGCGCUGUCUCCACCCGAGACUCAGUGAAAUUGAAAUCGCUGUGAAGAUGCAGCGUUCCCGCGGCAAGACGGAAAGACCCCGUGAACCUUUACUAUAGCUUUACACUGAACGUUGAGUUCUUCUGUGUAGGAUAGGUGGGAGGCUAUGAAACCAGGACGCUAGUUCUGGUGGAGCCAUCCUUGAAAUACCACCCUGAAGUGCUUGACGUUCUAACCUAGGCCCGUAAUUCGGGUCAGGGACCGUGUAUGGUGGGUAGUUUGACUGGGGCGGUCUCCUCCCAAAGAGUAACGGAGGAGCACGAAGGUACGCUCAGCGCGGUCGGACAUCGCGCACUGUGUGCAAAGGCAUAAGCGUGCUUGACUGCGAGAUCGACGGAUCAAGCAGGUACGAAAGUAGGUCUUAGUGAUCCGGUGGUUCUGUAUGGAAGGGCCAUCGCUCAACGGAUAAAAGGUACUCCGGGAUAACAGGCUGAUACCGCCCAAGAGUUCAUAUCGACGGCGGUGUUUGGCACCUCGAUGUCGGCUCAUCACAUCCUGGGGCUGUAGCCGGUCCCAAGGGUAUGGCUGUUCGCCAUUUAAAGUGGUACGCGAGCUGGGUUCAGAACGUCGUGAGACAGUUCGGUCCCUAUCUGUCGUGGGCGUUGGAGAUUUGAGGGGGGCUGCUCCUAGUACGAGAGGACCGGAGUGGACGUUCCGCUGGUGUUCGGGUUGUCAUGCCCAUGGCAUUGCCCGGUAGCUACGAACGGAAGUGAUAACCGCUGAAAGCAUCUAAGCGGGAAGCACGCCCCAAGAUGAGAUCUCCCGAGGGCUUGACUCUCCUAAAGGCACCAUCAAGACUAGGUGGUUGAUAGGUCAGGUGUGGAAGCGCAGCAAUGCGUUGAGCUAACUGAUACUAAUGAGCCGUGAGGCUUGAUCAA